Molecule: non-coding RNA, 212 nt
Organism: Pelobates cultripes (western spadefoot toad)
Lineage: Eukaryota; Metazoa; Chordata; Amphibia; Anura; Pelobatidae
Source: the annotation of a GenBank genome assembly
CUAACGGUUACAGAGCAAAAUCAUAUCCCGACUCAAGCAGUGGUACAGGGCUUGCAAUGGAUCGGGGAAAUCGAUGUAGACUGGUCCCAGCAGCUCCCCACACUGCAGCCAUCUCAAACAAGCAAGGUGGAUAGCCAAUCUGGAUAGCAACAAUUGACCGAGAAUGUAGGAGAUGAGAAAGUCCAGGUAUCUCAGCCAAGCAAUGCUGUCUG